Long non-coding RNA from Vespa velutina, 2978 nucleotides. RefSeq lists it as uncharacterized. The record is from RefSeq and is a predicted model, not a curated record. The transcript has 2 exons. Lineage: Eukaryota; Metazoa; Arthropoda; Insecta; Hymenoptera; Vespidae.
AAUUUUAUAAUCUGAUUGUUAAUUUUGAAAGUGGCCUAACUCCAUUCUUGACAAGAAAACGCAUAUUAUUUUCUUAAUAAUUGCCACUAUUUUAAUAGGAACUAUAAAUUUAACACCCUUAGAUACAUUUAAGUAGUAUAACUCAUUAGUAUCCUAUACGUAUAUUUUUAAAUUCAUUGAAACGCAAACCCUUAAAUAUCUCGAUUUGAAGAUAAAUGGAGUUAGGCCAUUUUCACAAUAAACGGCUCAUAUAUCCAUUUGGCCAAUGAUAUUUAUUUUCUUUGUGAAAAUUAAAGAAAAAGGAAAAUAAAAUAAAUUAAAAAAAAAAAGAGAGAAAAAUAAAAAAGAAGAAGAGAAAUGAACUGUACCAUUCGAAGAUAAAACGAUUGGAAUCUGCCAUAAGUGCGGAACUAUGAAAGAUCAUUAAAAAUAACGAAAGAAAUUUUAAAACUGUAUAUAUUUAAGUACAUACUUACAUAUAUAUAUACAUAUAUACUUACUUACCCAAUGAUACCUCUUUUCUUUGUGAAAAUAAAUUAAAAUAAAUAAAUAAAUAAUAAAAAUAAAAAAGAAAGAAAAAGAACGAACAACAAACAAACGAACUAUACCAUUCGAGACGCGGAACAAGACGUGUAACUCCAGUAGUCUCUGAUAACUUUCUAUGGUAUCGAUUACGAAUGUCGAUCAAGGACGUAAAGGAUGAAAGAUGAUACUCAUAAUAAAUAAAUAUUCUCGUUUUAAUAUACGCACGUGCGUGUACACAUACACAAACACGUACGUACGCACGCACAUAAAUACAUAGAAAGAUGGACAAUCCGUUGCGACAAUAUGAAAUAUUACGAAAUAUUCGUGAGAGGAUAGAUCAUGAUCGAGAUCUAGAAAUUCGAGGAUAAGACUACUAUAUAUAUAUAUAUAUAUAUAUAUAUAUAUAUAUAUAUAUUCGUAUCAAAUCGCAAAGAGAUGCAAUUUCAACGUAUCUCUCACGUACUUACUCACUUACUUACUUACUUACUUACUUACUUACUUACUUUCACGCAGAUGUGAUCGUUUAAAUCUUGAAAAAGAGUGUCCUUGAUUCAAAGUACAAUGAAUAGGGUAGAUUCGGUGACAGGGAAACGAAGUAUGAGUACUUCCUGGGUACCAUAGACGCAGAUGUGAUGCCAAUAGUUAUCACGUGCCGAUGACAAUAGCGAUUGCACCCAGUUUUUUCUCUCUCUCUCUCUCUCUCUCUCUCUUUCUAUUUUCUUUCUAAGCUACGGAAGAAUACUCUUGGAAGGGACAAUGCCUGGAACGAAAGAUAUCCCGGUAACAAUGCCUGACCACUUUUGGAACAUCUCCAAAAUUGAAACAAUUGGAAACUUAAGAUUUUUAGAGCCCGAUUAAUUUUACUUCUUAUUAUUGGAGGAACAAGCGUAGAAUAUUAUUAUUAAAUAAUUUAUUCUGUAUCUUCAAGAGUUAUGUUUACGUGUAAAAAGAAAAAAAAAAAAAAAAGAAAAAGAAAAAAAUAAUAAAGAAGAAGAACAACAGAAAGAAAUGAAAAUUAAAUGACGUUGUUAACGUGUUGAAUAUUAAAACAAUGCAACUUUUUUCUCUUGGAGUAUAAUAUUGCAUGAGAGAAAAGAAGGAUAAAAAAAGGAAAAAAAGUAUUAAACGAUUUCAAAAAAACGUUGCCGAAUAUUCUAUAACCUAUUCUCAUUUUUCUAGGAAAAGUAAAAUUACAUGAGGACAAAAUUGGACGAUUUUAUCGUUAAAAUUUCGGUCGAUGUUGCAACAAAGAAAUGAAUGGUAACCAGGAGAAAGGAAAUAUAUGAAAUUUCAAGAAGAGCAGCUGGUGAGAAGAUUGGCGUCGAUCCGUGAAAAGAUAGAAGGGAUCUGGAGGGGAGGGGAGAAAGAGAAAAAGAAAAAGAAAAAGAGAGAGAGAGAGAGAGAGAGAGAAGGGGCGGGGGAGCACGCGCGAGAUUAGAAAAGAAAAUCGAGGGGGGUAAAAUAGGAAAGUUAGGGGAAAAAGGACAACGUGGCACGAACCUACCCCACGAGGGUUAGAGGCCAAUGUGGUACAGUUCUCCCUAACUCACUUCUUCCCCUCCCCCAUCUCCCACUCUUCAUCCCUCUUACUAACUAAACGUACGUGUAGGUACACGUGCUCGGGAAGGGUAGUCCCUGCUUCUAAAAGCUACCAUUGCUUCCGGUGAAUACCCACAAACGUUUCUACUACCUACCUAUCGAACACGUUAAGACUACGAUGAAAGAAAGAGAAAGAGAUAGAUAGAUACAUAGACCGAAGGAGAGAGAGAGAGAGAGAGAGAGAGAGAGAGAGAGAGAGAGUGAGUGCGUGAGUGUGUAAGUGAGUAAGAAAGAGACAGAAGAAGAGAGGGAUAUCAGAGCAAGCAACGCAACGGAAUCGCAGUACACACUAGGACGACUAACGAACGCGAGUGAUAUUCGCGCGAGUGCGCGAGAUUUUAACGAAUGACAGUGAGGAAUUAUCAAUAUCGUUCAACGACGUUAAAGAGAUGAUCUUGGAAUAGAAUUUAUUUGUCUAUUUUAUAUCUAGACACGUCGUCAAUAGAGAUAUUCCUCUAUGUAUUUCGUUGAUUCUCAUGAGAAUUAAAUAAAGGAUAUAUGGAUUAAUUAGUAUAAAUGUGAAACGAAUCGCUCGAUAUAUUCGUCCGGUCGGAGGAAUGAUAAUGAAAUUCGUGAAUUCUUGAGAUUUUGAUUCGCCGUCGACGGAGUUGAAGAGAGAGAGAGAGAGAGAGAGAGAGAGAGAGAGAGAAAGAGAGAGAAAAAAAGUAAAAUAUACGAGAAUGAGAAUAAGGAGAAGAACGAAGUACAUUGAGUGUUCGAUUUCAACGUGGAGUUUCGUGAACGUUUGGAGAGAAACUAGGACCGACAAUAUCACGUGGUUGUGCGAUCAUAUUAGUGACAAUAAUAACAAGUGACGAUAUCUUGAUAUUUGAAAAAAAAAAGAAGAAGAAGAA